AGGGUUUUAGUUUAAUUAAAAUAUCUGUGUUGCAAUCAGAAGAUGUGGGUUNACUGCAAAUCCUC
This 65-nucleotide transfer RNA is filed under the name Cylindrophis maculatus. RNAcentral describes it as "tRNA-Ala". Lineage: Eukaryota; Metazoa; Chordata; Lepidosauria; Squamata; Cylindrophiidae. The record is from RNAcentral.